GACGAACGCUGGCGGCGUGCUUAACACAUGCAAGUCGAACGGUGAAAGCGGAGCUUGCUCCGCUGGAUCAGUGGCGAACGGGUGAGUAACAUGUGCGUGACCUGCCCCUGACUUCGGGAUAACUCCUCGAAAGAGGUGCUAAUACCGGAGACGAAUCCUGCAGGCAUCUGCGGGAUUGGAAAGCUUUUCGGUCAGGGGUGGGCGCGCGGCCUAUCAGUUAGUUGGUGAGGUAGUGGCUCACGAAGGCGACGACGGGUAGCCGGCCUGAGAGGGCGACCGGCCACACUGGGACUGAGACACGGCCCAGACUGCUACGGGAGGCAGCAGUGGGGAAUAUUGCGCAAUGGGCGAAAGCCUGACGCAGCAACGCCGCGUGAGGGACGACGGCCUUCGGGUUGUAAACCUCCUUCAGCAGGGAAGAAGCGAAAGUGACGGUACCUGCAGAAGAAGCACCGGCUAACUACGUGCCAGCCGCCGCCGUAA
This 483-nucleotide ribosomal RNA is filed under the name uncultured bacterium. RNAcentral describes it as "partial 16S ribosomal RNA". It matches the Rfam family "Bacterial small subunit ribosomal RNA", at positions 28 to 523 of the family's 1533-position model. The record is from RNAcentral.